This 315-nucleotide ribosomal RNA is filed under the name Lactiplantibacillus plantarum. Its description in RNAcentral is "bacterial SSU rRNA". It matches the Rfam family "Bacterial small subunit ribosomal RNA", at positions 1 to 287 of the family's 1533-position model. Lineage: Bacteria; Bacillati; Bacillota; Bacilli; Lactobacillales; Lactobacillaceae. The record is from RNAcentral.
UUAAUUUGAGAGUUUGAUCCUGGCUCAGGACGAACGCUGGCGGCGUGCCUAAUACAUGCAAGUCGAACGAACUCUGGUAAUGAUUGGUGCUUGCAUCAUGAAUUACAUUUGAGUGAGUGGCGAACUGGUGAGUAACACGUGGGAAACCUGCCCAGAAGCGGGGGAUAACACCUGGAAACAGAUGCUAAUACCGCAUAACAACUUGGACCGCAUGGUCCGAGUUUGAAAGAUGGCUUCGGCUAUCACUUUUGGAUGGUCCCGCGGCRUAUUAGCUAGAUGGUGAGGUAACGGCUCACCAUGGCAAUGAUACGUAGC